AACGACUCUCGGCAACGGAUAUCUCGGCUCUCGCAUCGAUGAAGAACGUAGCGAAAUGCGAUACUUGGUGUGAAUUGCAGAAUCCCGUGAACCAUCGAGUCUUUGAACGCAAGUUGCGCCCAAAGCUUUCGGGCUGAGGGCACGUCUGCCUGGGCGUCAUGC
This 162-nucleotide ribosomal RNA is filed under the name Kewa salsoloides. RNAcentral's name for it is "5.8S ribosomal RNA". It matches the Rfam family "5.8S ribosomal RNA". From Rfam's summary of the family: 5.8S ribosomal RNA (5.8S rRNA) is a component of the large subunit of the eukaryotic ribosome. Lineage: Eukaryota; Viridiplantae; Streptophyta; Magnoliopsida; Caryophyllales; Kewaceae. The record is from RNAcentral. RNAcentral also lists the same sequence under 4 other names.